This 22-nucleotide microRNA is filed under the name Monodelphis domestica (gray short-tailed opossum). RNAcentral's name for it is "mdo-miR-1541". Lineage: Eukaryota; Metazoa; Chordata; Mammalia; Didelphimorphia; Didelphidae. The record is from miRBase by way of RNAcentral.
UGGUGUGCUCGUUUGGAUGUGG